AUGACGACGACGACGCGGUGGAGGGAGAAUUGGCCUUUCGGCGACGGCGAGAGGGGGAGGAGGCGAGGGAUUAGGAGGGAAGAGAUUUGGAUUUGGAGAUUAGUUAAUUGCGGGCCUCGGCGAGGCGACGGGGGUCAGUGGCCGCGCACGAGGCCACGUCGGCGCGCGCAUUUUAAAUGGAACAGGUGUCGGGGGGCGGAGCGCGGGUUGGCCAACGGGAAAGGCGCGCCUCGCCUCGCCCAAUGGGGCUCCGCCUUUCUAUAUGCUCUGCUGGCUCGGUUUGAAUAA
Molecule: ribosomal RNA, 288 nt
Filed under: Triticum aestivum (bread wheat)
Lineage: Eukaryota; Viridiplantae; Streptophyta; Magnoliopsida; Poales; Poaceae
Description: partial small subunit ribosomal RNA
Source: RNAcentral